GAUGAACGCUGGCUACAGGCUUAACACAUGCAAGUCGAGGGGAAACGACGGGGAAGCUUGCUUCCCCGGGCGUCGACCGGCGCACGGGUGAGUAACGCGUAUCCAACCUGCCUCUGACUGAGGGAUAACCCGUCGAAAGUCGGCCUAAUACCUCAUGGCAUCGUCUGCGGGCAUCCAACGACGAUUAAAGAUUUCAUCGGUCAGGGAUGGGGAUGCGUCUGAUUAGCUAGUUGGCGGGGUAACGGCCCACCAAGGCGACGAUCAGUAGGGGUUCUGAGAGGAAGGUCCCCCACAUUGGAACUGGGACACGGUCCAAACUCCUACGGGAGGCAGCAGUGAGGAAUAUUGGUCAAUGGGCGAGAGCCUGAACCAGCCAAGUAGCGUGCAGGAUGACGGCCCUAUGGGUUGUAAACUGCUUUUAUGCGGGGAUAAAGUGAGGGACGUGUCCUUCAUUGCAGGUACCGCAUGAAUAAGGACCGGCUAAUUCCGUG
This 491-nucleotide ribosomal RNA is filed under the name uncultured bacterium. Its description in RNAcentral is "partial 16S ribosomal RNA". It matches the Rfam family "Bacterial small subunit ribosomal RNA", at positions 28 to 507 of the family's 1533-position model. The record is from RNAcentral.